RNAcentral lists this ribosomal RNA (423 nucleotides) under uncultured Paenibacillus sp. Its description in RNAcentral is "bacterial SSU rRNA". It matches the Rfam family "Bacterial small subunit ribosomal RNA", at positions 358 to 774 of the family's 1533-position model. Lineage: Bacteria; Bacillati; Bacillota; Bacilli; Caryophanales; Paenibacillaceae. The record is from RNAcentral.
GGAAUCUUCCGCAAUGGACGCAAGUCUGACGGAGCAACGCCGCGUGAGUGAGGAAGGCCUUCGGGUCGUAAAGCUCUGUUGCCAGGGAAGAAUGUCGAGGAGAGUAACUGCUCUUCGAAUGACGGUACCUGAGAAGAAAGCCCCGGCUAACUACGUGCCAGCAGCCGCGGUAAUACGUAGGGGGCAAGCGUUGUCCGGAAUUAUUGGGCGUAAAGCGCGCGCAGGCGGCUUUGUAAGUCUGGUGUUUAAACCUGGGGCUCAACCUCGGGUCGCAUCGGAAACUGCAAGGCUUGAGUGCAGAAGAGGAAAGUGGAAUUCCACGUGUAGCGGUGAAAUGCGUAGAGAUGUGGAGGAACACCAGUGGCGAAGGCGACUUUCUGGGCUGUAACUGACGCUGAGGUGCGAAAGCGUGGGGAGCAAACA